GAGUUUAAUGGCAAGCUCGGCCGCAUUGUCCGGCAGCUUCUGCUCGCCGAAGACGACGAUAAAAUCGUUGCCGAGUCCGUGCAUCUUGGUAAAUUCC
This 97-nucleotide transfer RNA is filed under the name compost metagenome. RNAcentral's name for it is "tRNA-Arg". The record is from RNAcentral.